Molecule: ribosomal RNA, 1029 nt
Filed under: Janthinobacterium lividum
Lineage: Bacteria; Pseudomonadati; Pseudomonadota; Betaproteobacteria; Burkholderiales; Oxalobacteraceae
Description: bacterial SSU rRNA
Rfam family: Bacterial small subunit ribosomal RNA
Source: RNAcentral
AGAAGGUCUGGAUUCCUGGCUCCAGGAUUGAACGCUGGCGGGCAUGCCUUACACCAUGCAAGUCGAACGGCAGCACGGAGCUUGCUCUGGUGGCGAGGUGGCGAACGGGUGAGUAAUAUAUCGGAACGUACCCUAGAGUGGGGGGAUAACGUAGCGAAAGUUACGCUAAUACCGCAUACGAUCUAAGGAUGAAAGUGGGGGAUCGCAAGACCUCAUGCUCGUGGAGCGGCCGAUAUCUGAUUAGCUAGUUGGUAGGGUAAAAGCCUACCAAGGCAUCGAUCAGUAGCUGGUCUGAGAGGACGACCAGCCACACUGGAACUGAGACACGGUCCAGACUCCUACGGGAGGCAGCAGUGGGGAAUUUUGGACAAUGGGCGAAAGCCUGAUCCAGCAAUGCCGCGUGAGUGAAGAAGGCCUUCGGGUUGUAAAGCUCUUUUGUCAGGGAAGAAACGGUGAGGGCUAAUAUCUUUUGCUAAUGACGGUACCUGAAGAAUAAGCACCGGCUAACUACGUGCCAGCAGCCGCGGUAAUACGUAGGGUGCAAGCGUUAAUCGGAAUUACUGGGCGUAAAGCGUGCGCAGGCGGUUUUGUAAGUCUGAUGUGAAAUCCCCGGGCUCAACCUGGGAAUUGCAUUGGAGACUGCAAGGCUAGAAUCUGGCAGAGGGGGGUAGAAUUCCACGUGUAGCAGUGAAAUGCGUAGAUAUGUGGAGGAACACCGAUGGCGAAGGCAGCCCCCUGGGUCAAGAUUGACGCUCAUGCACGAAAGCGUGGGGAGCAAACAGGAUUAGAUACCCUGGUAGUCCACGCCCUAAACGAUGUCUACUAGUUGUCGGGUCUUAAUUGACUUGGUAACGCAGCUAACGCGUGAAGUAGACCGCCUGGGGAGUACGGUCGCAAGAUUAAAACUCAAAGGAAUUGACGGGGACCCGCACAAGCGGUGGAUGAUGUGGAUUAAUUCGAUGCAACGCGAAAAACCUUACCUACCCUUGACAUGGCUGGAAUCCCCGAGAGAUGGGAUCCAUUGACCCC